GGUGGCAUAGUGGUAGAGUGCUUGCCUUGUAUGCAUGAGGCCCUGAGUUCAAUUCCUCAGCACCA
Molecule: transfer RNA, 65 nt
Filed under: Dipodomys ordii (Ord's kangaroo rat)
Lineage: Eukaryota; Metazoa; Chordata; Mammalia; Rodentia; Heteromyidae
Rfam family: tRNA
About the family: Transfer RNA (tRNA) molecules are approximately 80 nucleotides in length.
Source: Rfam by way of RNAcentral